RNAcentral lists this RNase P RNA (343 nucleotides) under Acholeplasmataceae bacterium. Its description in RNAcentral is "RNase P RNA component class B". It matches the Rfam family "Bacterial RNase P class B". Rfam says of the family: Ribonuclease P (RNase P) is a ubiquitous endoribonuclease, found in archaea, bacteria and eukarya as well as chloroplasts and mitochondria. Its best characterised activity is the generation of mature 5'-ends of tRNAs by cleaving the 5'-leader elements of precursor-tRNAs. Cellular RNase Ps are ribonucleoproteins. RNAcentral also lists the same sequence under 1 other name. Lineage: Bacteria; Bacillati; Mycoplasmatota; Mollicutes; Acholeplasmatales; Acholeplasmataceae. The record is from RNAcentral.
GUAUUCGGGCAAUCGAGCGGAAUUUUUUCCGUUAGGAAAGUCCUUGCUAGCACAUGCUGAGACGCAUGUAGUGUUUAUGCCUAACGAAACAAUAAGUUAGGGCACCUUGAAAAAGGUGACGGCGGAGAUGACCCUGUAAAAUGGCGAUUCUCCAUAAAGUGCCACAGUGACGAAGUUCUCGGGAAACCGGGAAGUGAAACGGGUAAACCCCAUAAGCUAGAAACCCAAAUUAUGGUAGGGGAACCUUCAAUCCGGAAAUGAACGGGGCGAAGGCUGCCGCCGCAAGCGGUGGAGAUAAAUGAUUGCCGCUUCCUUUGAGAAGUACAGAACAAGGCUUACAGAA